RNAcentral lists this transfer RNA (69 nucleotides) under Oligosoma townsi. Its description in RNAcentral is "tRNA-His". It matches the Rfam family "tRNA". From Rfam's summary of the family: Transfer RNA (tRNA) molecules are approximately 80 nucleotides in length. Their secondary structure includes four short double-helical elements and three loops (D, anti-codon, and T loops). Lineage: Eukaryota; Metazoa; Chordata; Lepidosauria; Squamata; Scincidae. The record is from RNAcentral.
GUCAUUAUAGUUUAACAAAAACAUUAGAAUGUGGACCUAAAAAUAGAAGUUUAACCCCUCUUAAUGACC